GGGGAGGGCUUCUGUUGUGAGUGGCACACACACGGCAGCUCGAUGGCUCUUUAGGUGGAAUCAACAUCAAGAGAUUUCAGAAGCAUAAUUUUUUGGUGGGCAGCUGAUGAUCGUUGGUCCUGGCGCCCCU
This 130-nucleotide small nuclear RNA is filed under the name Vicugna pacos (alpaca). Its description in RNAcentral is "U11 spliceosomal RNA (ENSVPAG00000016111.1)". It matches the Rfam family "U11 spliceosomal RNA". The record is from RNAcentral. Lineage: Eukaryota; Metazoa; Chordata; Mammalia; Artiodactyla; Camelidae.